NNNNNNNNNNNNNNNNNNNNNNNNNNNNNNNNNNNNNNNNNNNNNUGGGGAAACUUACUCAGCACCUGGCAUGAUGGCAGCAAAUGAAAGUAGUCUGUCUCUGAGGGGGAGGAGGUUCUUAGCUGAGGAACUAGCAAGACUCGUUGACAGGUCUUUAAACUAGGUAUGAAGGGGGAAGGGAGCAAAAUCAGGGAUGUCGAGCUUGAGCGGGUCAUUCCAGGGCUCGUACCGAACCUGCUGGGCGACGACAGUCAAGUACGAAGGGAUGGACUGGGGCAGGGGGGUGUAGGGGAUGCUGCGGUUCUAGGGGAACCUAGACCAUCUAUAGAGGCGGUGCGACGGAAAGCCGAACUGAAGUGCCUUUAUACCAAUGCACGCAGCCUGGGAAACAAGCAGGAUGAGUUGGAAACCGUGACGUGCUUAGAAAAUUACGACCUUGUUGCUAUCACGGAAACGUGGUGGGAUGAUUCCCAUAACUGGAAUACCACCAUUGAGGGCUAUCGGCUCUUUAGAAGAGAUAGGCUAGGUAGGAAGGGUGGGGGAGUAGCCCUCUAUGUCAAAGAGUGGAUAGACUGUGAGGAGCUCCCUCUGAGAAACAGUCAUGAUCAGGUUGAGAGCCUGUGGGGUAGAAUUAGGGAUGGGUCUAACAAAGGCCAGCUGGUGAUAGGAGUAUACUACAGGCCACCUGAUCAAGGGGACACUGUUGACAAGGCUUUCUUGCUUCAGAUGUGGGAGGCUUCGUGCUCACAGGCUCUUGUCCUGAUGGGGGACUUCAACCAUUCGGAUAUCUCCUGGAUAGACCACACGGCGAGUUGCAAGAGGUCCAGGAGGCUCCUGGAAUGUGUUGAUGAUAACUUUCUGGUCCAGGUGUUGGACAGACCGACCAGAGGUGAAGCGCUGCUGGACCUGCUGCUCACCAAUGUGGAGGAAAUAAUUGGUUUCAACGGACGGAGAGAAGGCCGAGGUACUGAAUGAGUUCUUUGCCUCGGUCUCCACUGGCGGCCAGGACUCCAGUACUCCUUCCGUCCCUGAGCCCUGCAUCCCUACACCUCUGGGUGGGAACUGGGGUGGUAAAUCCCCCCCUACUGUGAGGACAGAGCAGG
This 1103-nucleotide long non-coding RNA is filed under the name Phasianus colchicus (ring-necked pheasant). Its description in RNAcentral is "lncRNA (ENSPCLG00000016148.1)". The record is from RNAcentral. Lineage: Eukaryota; Metazoa; Chordata; Aves; Galliformes; Phasianidae.